UCAGUGGCGAAUGGUUGAGUAACACGUGAGCAACCUGCCCUGGACUUGGGAUAAGCGCCUGGAAUCGGCGUCUAAUACUAGAUAUGAGCUCUCAUCGCCAUGAUGGGUGUUGGAAAGAUUUUUCGGUUUGGGAUGGGCUCGCGGCCUAUCAGCUUGUUGGUGAGGUAAUGGCUCACCAAGGCGUCGACGGGUAGCCGACCUGAUAGGGUGACCGGCCACACCGCGACUGAGACACGGCCCAGACUCGUAUCGGAGGCAGCACUGCGGAAUAUUACACAAUGCGCGGAAGCCUGACGCAGUACCGCCGCGUGAGGGAUGACGGCCUUCCGGUUGUAAACCUCUUUUAGCAGGAAGAAGCGAGAGUGACGGUACCUGCAGAAAAAGCUCCGGCUAACUACGUGCCAGCAGCCGCGGUAAUACGUAGGGAGCAAGCGUUAUCCGGAAUUAUUGGGCGUAAAGAGCUCGUAGGCGGUUUGUCGAGUCUGAUGUGAAAUCCCGAGGCUCAACCUCGGACCUGCAGUGGGUACGGGCAGACUAGAGUGCGGUAGGGGAGAUUGGAAUUCCUGGUGUAGCGGUGGAAUUCGCAGAUAUCAGGAGGAACACCCAUGGCGAAGGCAGAUCUCUGGGC
This 628-nucleotide ribosomal RNA is filed under the name Microbacterium trichothecenolyticum. RNAcentral describes it as "bacterial SSU rRNA". It matches the Rfam family "Bacterial small subunit ribosomal RNA", at positions 92 to 734 of the family's 1533-position model. The record is from RNAcentral. Lineage: Bacteria; Bacillati; Actinomycetota; Actinomycetes; Micrococcales; Microbacteriaceae.